This 292-nucleotide ribosomal RNA is filed under the name uncultured bacterium. RNAcentral's name for it is "partial 16S ribosomal RNA". It matches the Rfam family "Bacterial small subunit ribosomal RNA", at positions 505 to 796 of the family's 1533-position model. The record is from RNAcentral.
GUGCCAGCAGCCGCGGUAAGACGAACCGUGCGAACGUUAUUCGGAUUCACUGGGCUUAAAGGGCGCGUAGGCGGGCUGACAAGUCAGAGGUGAAAUCCCACGGCUCAACCGUGGAAGUGCCCCUGAUACUGACAGCCUCGAGGGAGGUAGGGGUGUACGGAACUUCCGGUGGAGCGGUGAAAUGCGUAGAUAUCGGAAGGAACGCCGGUGGCGAAAGCGGUACACUGGAUCUCUUCUGACGCUGAGGCGCGAAAGCCAGGGGAGCGAACGGGAUUAGAUACCCCUGUAGUCC